Molecule: small RNA, 83 nt
Filed under: Marmota monax (woodchuck)
Lineage: Eukaryota; Metazoa; Chordata; Mammalia; Rodentia; Sciuridae
Source: RNAcentral
GCUGGGCAUGGUGGCUCAUGCCUGUAAUCCCAGCAGCUCAGGAGGCUGAGGCAGGAAGAUCAUGAAUUCGAAGCCAGCCUCUG